GGUUACUUGUAAACAAAAGGUCUUCUGGAUCAUGUUUACAACUCCUAAAAGCCUAAAACCCCUCGUCCCUCCCAGAAUUCCCAACCUAACUCAGUAACGCUACUCCCCUUCAUAACGCUACCCUCUUUCUCGCCCUAAUAUACAACUGGUCUUUCAUCUAUAUCUAUCUAUUAUAUAUAGAAUCUCUAUCCAGUUCUAAACCUGUAUGGCUAUAUCAGAUAAUGUAAUGAUGAUGCAUGAAGAAUGUUUGAAAGGUAACUUUGUUACUAUUGAACGAUUAAGGAAAUCGAUUCCGGCCUCUAAUCUUCGCAUGCAGGUUGUGAAUGGUGGUGAAGAUUUAACAUCAAGUUCAGAGGAUGAGUCAAUAGAGAUGGCAGAACUUGAUAUAUGAUGAUGGAGAAAACAUGAAGGUGGCGGGGCCAUGCCCCAUUUUACAGUUGGUGCACAAGAUUCAUAUCUUUUUGUUAUUAUUGAAAGGUAUUUUAGACACUGGAUUCAUAGCCAGAUAUAUUUUCUUUGUAGAGUUUUCUACUGCCAGGCUCCAGUUGGCUUUUGUCUGUUAACCAUAGCGAAUUUGUCCAAUUGAUAAAAUUCAUUGUAUAUAGUUUGUGUAAGAGUGGUUUCAAAAUGUCAAUAAGUGAUGAGUUUAACAUA
Molecule: long non-coding RNA, 654 nt
Organism: Erigeron canadensis
Lineage: Eukaryota; Viridiplantae; Streptophyta; Magnoliopsida; Asterales; Asteraceae
Exons: 3
Source: RefSeq, a predicted model, not a curated record